UACGUAGGCAGCAAGCGUUGUUCGGAGUUACUGGGCGUAAAGGGUGCGUAGGCGGUUGUUUAAGUUUGGUGUGAAAUCUCCCGGCUCAACUGGGAGGGUGCGCCGAAUACUGAAUGACUAGAGUGCGGGAGAGGAGAGUGGAAUUCCUGGUGUAGCGGUGAAAUGCGUAGAUAUCAGGAGGAACACCGGUGGUGUAGACGGCUCUCUGGACCGUAACUGACGCUGAGGCGCGAAAGCUAGGGGAGCAAACAGG
This 253-nucleotide ribosomal RNA is filed under the name uncultured bacterium. Its description in RNAcentral is "partial 16S ribosomal RNA". It matches the Rfam family "Bacterial small subunit ribosomal RNA", at positions 524 to 776 of the family's 1533-position model. The record is from RNAcentral.